This 491-nucleotide ribosomal RNA is filed under the name uncultured bacterium. Its description in RNAcentral is "partial 16S ribosomal RNA". It matches the Rfam family "Bacterial small subunit ribosomal RNA", at positions 29 to 506 of the family's 1533-position model. The record is from RNAcentral.
AGUGAACGCUGGCGGUAGGCCUAACACAUGCAAGUCGAACGGCAGCACAGUAAGAGCUUGCUCUUACGGGUGGCGAGUGGCGGACGGGUGAGGAAUACAUCGGAAUCUACUUUUUCGUGGGGGAUAACGUAGGGAAACUUACGCUAAUACCGCAUACGACCUACGGGUGAAAGCAGGGGAUCUUCGGACCUUGCGCGAUUGAAUGAGCCGAUGUCGGAUUAGCUAGUUGGCGGGGUAAAGGCCCACCAAGGCGACGAUCCGUAGCUGGUCUGAGGGGAUGAUCAGCCACACUGGAACUGAGACACGGUCCAGACUCCUACGGGAGGCAGCGGUGGGGAAUAUUGGACAAUGGGCGUAAGCCUGAUCCAGCCAUACCGCGUGGGUGAAGAAGGCCUUCGGGUUGUAAAGCCCUUUUGUUGGGAAAGAAAAGCAGCAGGUUAAUACCCCGCUGUUCUGACGGUACCCAAAGAAUAAGCACCGGCUAACUGCGU